Notothenia coriiceps (black rockcod) is the source of this 914-nucleotide RNA transcript. It is a transcript of the gene named chromodomain-helicase-DNA-binding protein 8-like, with no coding region annotated. Lineage: Eukaryota; Metazoa; Chordata; Actinopteri; Perciformes; Nototheniidae. The transcript has 7 exons. The record is from RefSeq and is a predicted model, not a curated record.
GGUCUUAUCUGGUCCGCCCAAUGCUGCUCUUCUGAGAGCAAUCGCUCUGACAGCUCUCUCUAGUCUCUACUGGGAAACAGCUAAAAGUCCUUCUGGAGGCUUUGCAUUUGAACUCCUAUGCUAUGACUGGUUGCGGACUUGAAGGGAACGCCUUCCUGACAUCCAGGAAAAAGAGGCAGUAGAGAUCUACUGGAAACAGUGGAGAGGGAGGAGAUGAUAUGCAGCAAAAGGCUGAGCCGGAUGGUUACUGCUCCGUGCGGAACGUGUUCUAUCAGGUGUAACAUCUACCAUUGGUUGUACAUGACAGAGACCUCCUCCACCUCUUUGCUGUCUUGCUAGUCAAUCCUUCUGAUCAGGUCAUUUCCUAAAUAGUGAAAGGAUCAUGCCAGCCCACAUCAAACACCUGAUCAAGAGCUUGUGAACCUCACUGCUGCGGACACCUGUGUGAUAUUCGACUCUGACUGGAACCCUCAAAAUGACCUGCAGGCUCAAGCUCGGUGUCAUCGUUUUGGCCAGUCUAAGGCGGUGGAGGUGUACCGUCUGAUCACUAGAAACUAUGAGAGGGAAAAGCUGGAUAAAGCUAGUCUGAAGCUCGGGCUGGACCGUGCUGUCCUGCAGAGCAUGAGUUGGAACAAAGAAGGCAACAACAACGGGCCGGUCCAGCAGUUCUCCAAGAAGGAGAUCGAGGACCUGCUGAGGAAAGGAGCCUACGCCGCCAUCAUUGACGAGAACGACGAAGGCAAUCGCUUCUGCUAGGAGGACAUCGACCAGAUCCUGCAGCGAAGAGCCACCAUCAUCACCAUCACCAGGUAUGUUCUUAGCAGCACUAGCCACUUGCUCUUUGUGAGAUACCAAGUACUUGGUUAUUUGAAAUGUAAUAUUGAUGAUGUAAUAAUUAAAACUAGGGAUGGGUA